Molecule: ribosomal RNA, 251 nt
Filed under: uncultured bacterium
Lineage: Bacteria
Description: partial 16S ribosomal RNA
Rfam family: Bacterial small subunit ribosomal RNA
Source: RNAcentral
ACGUAGGGAGCGAGCGUUGUCCGGAUUUACUGGGUGUAAAGGGUGCGUAGGCGGCAGAGCAAGUCAGGCGUGAAAGCCAUGGGCUUAACCCAUGAACUGCGCUUGAAACUGUUUUGCUUGAGUGAAGUAGAGGCAGGCGGAAUUCCCGGUGUAGCGGUGAAAUGCGUAGAGAUCGGGAGGAACACCAGUGGCGAAGGCGGCCUGCUGGGCUUUAACUGACGCUGAGGCACGAAAGCAUGGGUAGCAAACAG